Papaver somniferum (opium poppy) is the source of this 1138-nucleotide long non-coding RNA. RefSeq lists it as uncharacterized. The transcript is spliced from 8 exons. Lineage: Eukaryota; Viridiplantae; Streptophyta; Magnoliopsida; Ranunculales; Papaveraceae. The record is from RefSeq and is a predicted model, not a curated record.
CUCUCUCCUCCUUUUCUCAUUUCCCGAGCCAAAUUUGAUCUUCCAUAGUUUCUCUUUUACUUCUCUUCAUGCAUCUAUCCAUUCCCAAUCUUGUCAAUGCGCGGAGCAAUUACUGAAGGGAGGUGCAGGUGUUGAUCCAAAUUGAAAUGGCGGACCAGAUGGAAUAAAAGCUCUAUCACUUGCAGCCGAAAAGGAGGUAGUAUAAAUCAUUAAGCUACUGGUUGAAGCUGAUGCAGAUCCAAAUAUAUUACAGUUUCUGUUGGCAUUCAGCAGUUUCCAACUUUCAUGAAGUGGUGCUCCAAAAUAUGUAGUUUCUGUUGGCAUUCAGCAGUCUUCCGGGUAAAUACUCUACACGUGUAGAGUACUCAUUGUGGUGCAACCCUUGAAACACUACAUCAGUGGAGGUUUAUUCGCAUCUCUACCAGAAGAAACUCAAUGAAUGGGACCAAGAUGUAUAGAACUGGGAGGAAAAAGACCAGCAAGAGAUGGAGAGAGUGCGCCUGAAAGUUCGUUUGAAAGAGUCUGUUUCAUCUUAUCAACCAUUGUUUGUUGAGAUAAUUAGAGACCCAGAGGUGUGUAUUACCAUGCAUUCCAUCCCCUUGCAUCAGUCGUGGGUUCACCAAGUUUGUCCAUUAGGUAGACAGAAGUAGUUGUGCCUAUGGCCAAAGAAAGAAGAGCAGAGCAGCUGCAAAUUAGUGUGCAGAAUGUGGUGUGGCAGGGGACAGGAUUUGGCAUACAAACCCAAGAUAUCUUUGAAUGUGAGUCAGUAUUCAAGUCAAACCCAGUCCAACAGCCUAUUUUUCAUAGUAAUUUACUAUGGUGCUAAAAAGGAGUAGCAGGAGGUGGAUUUCAGAAAUCUCCACUCAUAUCAUUAUGGUGCUUGUCAAGAUGCACAGGCGUCUGGAUUCCCGUUGCUGAAUGAGAUUGUAAUUUUGAGUGAUAUUGGUGUUCGGAAUUUUGAGGAUGUUAUCCUUCAUUGCACAUUUUGUGCUUGUGCCUCUUGUGUUUGGAAAUCUGAGUGUGGAUAUACUUGCUAUUGCGUUCGUGCAGUUUGAUGAAUUGUGGAUUUGAACAUGUGAAACUGAAACAAUUUCAGAAGACAGUAGGCAAAAUGACAAUCAAUAUUAAGCUUUUCCUA